Taphrina deformans PYCC 5710 is the source of this 73-nucleotide non-coding RNA. Lineage: Eukaryota; Fungi; Ascomycota; Taphrinomycetes; Taphrinales; Taphrinaceae. The record is from Rfam.
GACCUUAUCGUCAAACUGGUUAAGACACAGCAUUUUCACUGCUGUAAUCCUGGUUCAAGCCCAGGUAAGGUUA